Molecule: ribosomal RNA, 1479 nt
Filed under: Enterobacter cloacae subsp. cloacae
Lineage: Bacteria; Pseudomonadati; Pseudomonadota; Gammaproteobacteria; Enterobacterales; Enterobacteriaceae
Description: bacterial SSU rRNA
Rfam family: Bacterial small subunit ribosomal RNA
Source: RNAcentral
CUGGCGGCAGGCCUAACACAUGCAAGUCGAACGGUAGCACAGAGAGCUUGCUCUCGGGUGACGAGUGGCGGACGGGUGAGUAAUGUCUGGGAAACUGCCUGAUGGAGGGGGAUAACUACUGGAAACGGUAGCUAAUACCGCAUAAUGUCGCAAGACCAAAGAGGGGGACCUUCGGGCCUCUUGCCAUCAGAUGUGCCCAGAUGGGAUUAGCUAGUAGGUGGGGUAACGGCUCACCUAGGCGACGAUCCCUAGCUGGUCUGAGAGGAUGACCAGCCACACUGGAACUGAGACACGGUCCAGACUCCUACGGGAGGCAGCAGUGGGGAAUAUUGCACAAUGGGCGCAAGCCUGAUCAGCCAUGCCGCGUGUAUGAAGAAGGCCUUCGGGUUGUAAAGUACUUUCAGCGGGGAGGAAGGUGUUGUGGUUAAUAACCGCAGCAAUUGACGUUACCCGCAGAAGAAGCACCGGCUAACUCCGUGCCAGCAGCCGCGGUAAUACGGAGGGUGCAAGCGUUAAUCGGAAUUACUGGGCGUAAAGCGCACGCAGGCGGUCUGUCAAGUCGGAUGUGAAAUCCCCGGGCUCAACCUGGGAACUGCAUUCGAAACUGGCAGGCUGGAGUCUUGUAGAGGGGGGUAGAAUUCCAGGUGUAGCGGUGAAAUGCGUAGAGAUCUGGAGGAAUACCGGUGGCGAAGGCGGCCCCCUGGACAAAGACUGACGCUCAGGUGCGAAAGCGUGGGGAGCAAACAGGAUUAGAUACCCUGGUAGUCCACGCCGUAAACGAUUUCGAUUUUGGGAGGUUGUGCCCUUGAGGCGUGGCUUCCGGAGGCUAACGCGUUAAAUCGACCGCCUGGGGAGUACGGCCGCAAGGUUAAAACUCAAAUGAAUUGACGGGGGCCCGCACAAGCGGUGGAGCAUGUGGUUUAAUUCGAUGCAACGCGAAGAACCUUACCUGGUCUUGACAUCCACAGAACUUUCCAGAGAUGGAUUGGUGCCUUCGGGAACUGUGAGACAGGUGCUGCAUGGCUGUCGUCAGCUCGUGUUGUGAAAUGUUGGGUUAAGUCCCGCAACGAGCGCAACCCUUAUCCUUUGUUGCCAGCGGUCCGGCCGGGAACGCAAAGGAGACUGCCAGUGAUCCACUGGAGGAAGGUGGGGAUGACGUCAAGUCAUCAUGGCCCUUACGACCAGGGCUACACACGUGCUACAAUGGCGCAUACAAAGAGAAGCGACCUCGCGAGAGCAAGCGGACCUCAUAAAGUGCGUCGUAGUCCGGAUUGGAGUCUGCAACUCGACUCCAUGAAGUCGGAAUCGCUAGUAAUCGUAGAUCAGAAUGCUACGGUGAAUACGUUCCCGGGCCUUGUACACACCGCCCGUCACACCAUGGGAGUGGGUUCACAAAAGAAGUAGGUAGCUUAACCUUCGGGAGGGCGCUUACCACUUUGUGAUUCAUGACUGGGGUGAAGUCGUAACAAGGUAACCGUA